Molecule: microRNA precursor, 84 nt
Filed under: Bombyx mori (domestic silkworm)
Lineage: Eukaryota; Metazoa; Arthropoda; Insecta; Lepidoptera; Bombycidae
Description: mir-2807 microRNA precursor family
Rfam family: mir-2807 microRNA precursor family
Source: Rfam by way of RNAcentral
UUAAAUGAAAUUUGUAUGGAUUUGGAACGUUUGCCUACGUUUGCCGCUAGGGGCGCUGUUCCAACUGCAUACAAAUCUGAGUUA